This 207-nucleotide ribosomal RNA is filed under the name uncultured bacterium. Its description in RNAcentral is "partial 16S ribosomal RNA". It matches the Rfam family "Bacterial small subunit ribosomal RNA", at positions 524 to 729 of the family's 1533-position model. The record is from RNAcentral.
UACGAAGGGGGCUAGCGUUGCUCGGAAUUACUGGGCGUAAAGCGCACGUAGGCGGCUUUCUAAGUCGGGGGUGAAAUCCUGGAGCUCAACUCCAGAACUGCCUUCGAUACUGGAGCUUGAGUCCGGGAGAGGUGAGUGGGAACUGCGAGUGUAGAGGUGAAAUUCGUAGAUAUUCGCAAGAACACCCAGUGGCGGAAGGCGGCUCAC